RNAcentral lists this unclassified non-coding RNA (222 nucleotides) under uncultured fungus. RNAcentral describes it as "sequence contains ITS1, 5.8S rRNA gene". The stretch from base 174 to 222 matches the Rfam family "5.8S ribosomal RNA", at positions 1 to 49 of the family's 154-position model. The record is from RNAcentral. Lineage: Eukaryota; Fungi.
UUUCCGUAGGUGAACCUGCGGAAGGAUCAUUAUCAAAACAGCGGACUUCGGUCCUUGCUGCACCCUUGUCUUUUGCGUACCGUAUGUUUCCUCGGCGGGCUUGCCUGCCGGUUGGACAACUUUAUAACCUUUUUAAAUCUUCAAUCAGCGUCUGAACAAUAUACAAUAAUUACAACUUUCAACAACGGAUCUCUUGGUUCUGGCAUCGAUGAAGAACGCAGC